AUGGCAAGGCUGCAGCGUGUGUGUGUGCAUGUGUUUUCAACCCAGUCUUUAAAUGAGGUCUUUGCUGAGAAUUUACAAUUCCCCCAUGGCCUCAAUCUUGCAAAGAUUGCUUUUUUAACACUGUUGGGCUUUAAUUCUAAUAAGCCUCCUCUUUAUUCUCCGCACGCUCACCGAGACGCUCCCAGGAACGCCGCGGAGCCCACAACGCGUGCGCUUCAUCCAGCCGAAAUGUCUGAGCUGUGCCAGCAGCGGGGAGAGGCGGCAGCCCUGGCUACGGCUGCUCCGUGCUCCUCCACAAAGCAAUCUGCUGCUUGGGCUCCUCUCCGCUUCCCUCUUACGCAACUGCACAAAACGGAGAGGGAAAAAAAAAAAAAAAAAAAAAAAUCCCCUAGAUGCUAAUUUAUCUGAGGAGCUCAAGCAGGUCUGCACAAGAAGGCAGUUUCAGCAGAAAGAAGGUAAAAAAAAAUAAAUAAAUAAAAGAGGACCAGCCAUGUCUGAAAUGCUGCUUCAGAAACCCAGUGGAUGCAGCAGCCCUCCCGGCACCAGCACCGCCACCUGCCCCGUCCCGGCACCCGCUGGGAGAAGCCCAGAGCAGCAGCGGGUGCGGCAGCACCAAGCAGCCCCCCACGAGCUCGCUGAGCCCCCCCUGCCCGCUCCCAGACACCUCGGGCAACCCGGGGCACCUCGCAGCCAGCCUGCCCCCCUUUCCUGGGGCCCAGCGGCAAUUACAGGUUUAGCGGUGCAAAGCAGAGUUUAAUAGCAGCCAAGGCUGGUGGGAUUGAUUUCUUGUUUUGUUUUAAGUGCAGCUAAUCUAAUAGUUAAUUUAUUUAAAUUGAUAGGGCAGAGAGAAAUUACAUUUCUAUUUUCUCU
RNAcentral lists this long non-coding RNA (870 nucleotides) under Cairina moschata (Muscovy duck). RNAcentral describes it as "domestica (muscovy Duck (domestic type)) lncRNA (ENSCMMG00000012939.1)". Lineage: Eukaryota; Metazoa; Chordata; Aves; Anseriformes; Anatidae. The record is from RNAcentral.